This 21-nucleotide non-coding RNA is filed under the name Caenorhabditis elegans. The record is from RNAcentral. Lineage: Eukaryota; Metazoa; Nematoda; Chromadorea; Rhabditida; Rhabditidae.
UAAGACAAAUAAGGCAAGAAA